UCUAUGGCUAUCCCACCCUGCACAUGCCCAGUCUCAUGUGACCUCAGAAGUAAGCAGGAUCAGGCCUGGUUAGUACUUGGAUGGGAAUAGCACUUCUGUGUUGUCACUGGAA
RNAcentral lists this ribosomal RNA (112 nucleotides) under Cavia porcellus (domestic guinea pig). Lineage: Eukaryota; Metazoa; Chordata; Mammalia; Rodentia; Caviidae. The record is from RNAcentral.